AUUCAUCAGUGGCGUAACUUUGCUUUGAAAAGUGGUGGGGACACCACGCAACUCGUUUUGCUAGAUCUUUUUUAUUUAAUAAAC
Molecule: long non-coding RNA, 84 nt
Organism: Sinocyclocheilus rhinocerous
Lineage: Eukaryota; Metazoa; Chordata; Actinopteri; Cypriniformes; Cyprinidae
Exons: 3
Source: RefSeq, a predicted model, not a curated record